Molecule: non-coding RNA, 98 nt
Filed under: Oxyrrhis marina
Lineage: Eukaryota; Dinophyceae; Oxyrrhinales; Oxyrrhinaceae
Source: RNAcentral
ACCCACACCAAACAGAAGAAGAAAGAAGAAGAAGCAGAUAAGAUGAAGUAGUAGAUAUAAUAAGCUCUUUCUUUAUUUUUGAUGAUUUUUUUUUUUUU